ACUCCUACGGGAGGCAGCAGUGGGAAGUAUUGCACAAUGGGGGAAACCCUGAUGCAGCCAUGCCGCGUGUGUGAAGAAGGCCUUGGGUUGUAAAGCACUUUCAGUAGGGAGGAAGGUAGUGUAGUUAACACCUGCAUUAUUUGUACGUUACCUACAGAAGAAGCACCGGCUAACUCCGUGCCAGCAGCCGCGGUAAUACGGAGGGUGCGAGCGUUAAUCGGAAUUACUGGGCGUAAAGCGCAUGCAGGCGGCCUGUUAAGUCAGAUGUGAAAGCCCGGGGCUUAACCUCGGAAUUGCAUUUGAAACUGGCAGGCUAGAGUCUUGUAGAGGGGUUAGAAUUUCAGGUGUAGCGGUGAAAUGCGUAGAGAUCUGAAGGAAUACCAGUGGCGAAGGCGGCCCCCUGGAC
This 406-nucleotide ribosomal RNA is filed under the name uncultured bacterium. Its description in RNAcentral is "bacterial SSU rRNA". It matches the Rfam family "Bacterial small subunit ribosomal RNA", at positions 335 to 734 of the family's 1533-position model. The record is from RNAcentral.